RNAcentral lists this ribosomal RNA (270 nucleotides) under uncultured archaeon. RNAcentral describes it as "partial 16S ribosomal RNA". It matches the Rfam family "Archaeal small subunit ribosomal RNA", at positions 477 to 747 of the family's 1478-position model. The record is from RNAcentral.
CAGCUCUCCGUGUGGUAGGGAUGAUUAUUGGGCUUAAAGCGUCCGUAGCCGGCUUAGCAAGUCUCCUGUUAAAUUCAGCGACCUAAUCGUUGACCCGCGGGAGAUACUACUAGGCUAGGAGGCGGGAGAGGUCGACGGUACUUCUGGGGUAGGGGUGAAAUCCUAUAAUCCCGGGAGGACCACCAGUGGCGAAGGCUGUCGACUAGAACGCGCUCGACGGUGAGGGACGAAAGCUGGGGGAGCGAACCGGAUUAGAGACCCGAGUAGUCC